Molecule: unclassified non-coding RNA, 25 nt
Filed under: Mus musculus (house mouse)
Lineage: Eukaryota; Metazoa; Chordata; Mammalia; Rodentia; Muridae
Description: piRNA piR-mmu-68528518
Source: RNAcentral
CACCAAAGGAUGCAGUACUAGAACU